This 1554-nucleotide ribosomal RNA is filed under the name Staphylococcus aureus. Its description in RNAcentral is "16S ribosomal RNA". It matches the Rfam family "Bacterial small subunit ribosomal RNA". Lineage: Bacteria; Bacillati; Bacillota; Bacilli; Caryophanales; Staphylococcaceae. The record is from RNAcentral.
UUUAUGGAGAGUUUGAUCCUGGCUCAGGAUGAACGCUGGCGGCGUGCCUAAUACAUGCAAGUCGAGCGAACGGACGAGAAGCUUGCUUCUCUGAUGUUAGCGGCGGACGGGUGAGUAACACGUGGAUAACCUACCUAUAAGACUGGGAUAACUUCGGGAAACCGGAGCUAAUACCGGAUAAUAUUUUGAACCGCAUGGUUCAAAAGUGAAAGACGGUCUUGCUGUCACUUAUAGAUGGAUCCGCGCUGCAUUAGCUAGUUGGUAAGGUAACGGCUUACCAAGGCAACGAUGCAUAGCCGACCUGAGAGGGUGAUCGGCCACACUGGAACUGAGACACGGUCCAGACUCCUACGGGAGGCAGCAGUAGGGAAUCUUCCGCAAUGGGCGAAAGCCUGACGGAGCAACGCCGCGUGAGUGAUGAAGGUCUUCGGAUCGUAAAACUCUGUUAUUAGGGAAGAACAUAUGUGUAAGUAACUGUGCACAUCUUGACGGUACCUAAUCAGAAAGCCACGGCUAACUACGUGCCAGCAGCCGCGGUAAUACGUAGGUGGCAAGCGUUAUCCGGAAUUAUUGGGCGUAAAGCGCGCGUAGGCGGUUUUUUAAGUCUGAUGUGAAAGCCCACGGCUCAACUGUGGAGGGUCAUUGGAAACUGGAAAACUUGAGUGCAGAAGAGGAAAGUGGAAUUCCAUGUGUAGCGGUGAAAUGCGCAGAGAUAUGGAGGAACACCAGUGGCGAAGGCGACUUUCUGGUCUGUAACUGACGCUGAUGUGCGAAAGCGUGGGGAUCAAACAGGAUUAGAUACCCUGGUAGUCCACGCCGUAAACGAUGAGUGCUAAGUGUUAGGGGGUUUCCGCCCCUUAGUGCUGCAGCUAACGCAUUAAGCACUCCGCCUGGGGAGUACGACCGCAAGGUUGAAACUCAAAGGAAUUGACGGGGACCCGCACAAGCGGUGGAGCAUGUGGUUUAAUUCGAAGCAACGCGAAGAACCUUACCAAAUCUUGACAUCCUUUGACAACUCUAGAGAUAGAGCCUUCCCCUUCGGGGGACAAAGUGACAGGUGGUGCAUGGUUGUCGUCAGCUCGUGUCGUGAGAUGUUGGGUUAAGUCCCGCAACGAGCGCAACCCUUAAGCUUAGUUGCCAUCAUUAAGUUGGGCACUCUAAGUUGACUGCCGGUGACAAACCGGAGGAAGGUGGGGAUGACGUCAAAUCAUCAUGCCCCUUAUGAUUUGGGCUACACACGUGCUACAAUGGACAAUACAAAGGGCAGCGAAACCGCGAGGUCAAGCAAAUCCCAUAAAGUUGUUCUCAGUUCGGAUUGUAGUCUGCAACUCGACUACAUGAAGCUGGAAUCGCUAGUAAUCGUAGAUCAGCAUGCUACGGUGAAUACGUUCCCGGGUCUUGUACACACCGCCCGUCACACCACGAGAGUUUGUAACACCCGAAGCCGGUGGAGUAACCUUUUAGGAGCUAGCCGUCGAAGGUGGGACAAAUGAUUGGGGUGAAGUCGUAACAAGGUAGCCGUAUCGGAAGGUGCGGCUGGAUCACCUCCUUUCU